CCCUUAGAUGUUCUGGGCCGCACGCGCGCUACACUGUUCGACGCAGCGAGUCUUAACCUUGACCGAAAGGUUUGGGUAAUCUUCAGCAAAGUCGAACGUGAUGGGGAUCGAUCAUUGCAAUUAUUGAUCGUGAACGAGGAAUUCCUAGUAAGUGCAAGUCAUCAGCUUGCGCUGAUUACGUCCCUGCCCUUUGUACACACCGCCCGUCGCUACUACCGAUUGAAUGGUUUAGUGAGAUCUCUGGAUUGACGCUGGCUAGGGGGCGACCCUUGGCCAGACUGUUGGGAAGCUGCUCAAACUUGAUCAUUUAGAGGAAGUAAAAGUCGUAACA
This 331-nucleotide ribosomal RNA is filed under the name uncultured eukaryote. RNAcentral's name for it is "partial 18S ribosomal RNA". It matches the Rfam family "Eukaryotic small subunit ribosomal RNA", at positions 1470 to 1796 of the family's 1831-position model. The record is from RNAcentral.